GACGAACGCUGGCGGCGUGCUUAACACAUGCAAGUCGAACGGAAAGGCCCUGCUUUUGUGGGGUGCUCGAGUGGCGAACGGGUGAGUAACACGUGAGUAACCUGCCCUUGACUUUGGGAUAACUUCAGGAAACUGGGGCUAAUACCGGAUAGGAGCUCCUGCUGCAUGGUGGGGGUUGGAAAGUUUCGGCGGUUGGGGAUGGACUCGCGGCUUAUCAGCUUGUUGGUGGGGUAGUGGCUUACCAAGGCUUUGACGGGUAGCCGGCCUGAGAGGGUGACCGGCAACAGUGGGCAUGAGAACGGCCCGAGACUCCGGGGGGGGCAAGCGGGGGGGAUUUUGCCACAGGGGCCGGACGCCGUAUGCAGCACCCCGGGGGGGGGAAGGAGGCCUUGCGGUUUAAAACCCGCUGCCGCUGGAGACGAAGCGGGGGGGAGGAAAGGGGAUAAAGAGACCCGGACAAACUACGGC
RNAcentral lists this ribosomal RNA (468 nucleotides) under uncultured bacterium. Its description in RNAcentral is "partial 16S ribosomal RNA". It matches the Rfam family "Bacterial small subunit ribosomal RNA", at positions 28 to 508 of the family's 1533-position model. The record is from RNAcentral.